GACGAACGCUGGCGGCGUGCUUUACACAUGCAAGUCGAACGAUGAAGGAGAGAUUGCUCUCCGGAUUAGUGGCGAACGGGUGAGUAACACGUGACUAACCUGCCCCUUUCUCUGGGAUAACGCUCCGAAAGGAGUGCUAAUACCGGAUACGAACUCUGAACACAUGUUCGGAGUUGGAAAGUUUUUCGGAAAGGGAUGGAGUCGCGGCCUAUCAGCUUGUUGGUGAGGUAACGGAUCAACAAGGCGACGACGGGUAGCCGGACCGAGAGGGCGACCGGCCACGCGGGGACUGAGAGACGGCGCAGACUCCGACGGGAGGCAGCGGUGGGGAAUAUUGCACAAGGGGCGAGAGCCUGAUGCAGCGACGCCGCGUGAGGGAUGAAGGUCUUCGGAUUGUAAACCUCUUUCAGUAGGGACGAAGCGAAAGUGACGGUACCUAAAGAAGAAGCACCGGCUAACUACGUGCCAGCCGCCGCAGUAA
Molecule: ribosomal RNA, 481 nt
Filed under: uncultured bacterium
Lineage: Bacteria
Description: partial 16S ribosomal RNA
Rfam family: Bacterial small subunit ribosomal RNA
Source: RNAcentral